This 253-nucleotide ribosomal RNA is filed under the name uncultured bacterium. Its description in RNAcentral is "partial 16S ribosomal RNA". It matches the Rfam family "Bacterial small subunit ribosomal RNA", at positions 524 to 776 of the family's 1533-position model. The record is from RNAcentral.
UACGUAGGGGGCAAGCGUUGUCCGGAUUUAUUGGGCGUAAAGAGCGUGUAGGCGGCCUUACAGGUCAGCUGUGAAAACUCGAGGCUCAACCUCGAGACGUCGGUUGAAACCGUAAGGCUAGAGUCCGGAAGAGGAGAGUGGAAUUCCCGGUGUAGCGGUGAAAUGCGCAGAUAUCGGGAAGAACACCCGUGGCGAAGGCGGCUCUCUGGGACGGUACUGACGCUGAGAAGCGAAAGCAUGGGGAGCGAACAGG